Molecule: ribosomal RNA, 440 nt
Filed under: uncultured bacterium
Lineage: Bacteria
Description: partial 16S ribosomal RNA
Rfam family: Bacterial small subunit ribosomal RNA
Source: RNAcentral
CCUACGGGUGGCAGCAGUGGGGAAUAUUGCACAAUGGGGGAAACCCUGAUGCAGCGACGCCGCGUGAGCGAUGAAGUAUUUCGGUAUGUAAAGCUCUAUCAGCAGGGAAGAAAAUGACGGUACCUGACUAAGAAGCCCCGGCUAACUACGUGCCAGCAGCCGCGGUAAGACGGAGGGGGCAAGCGUUAUCCGGCAUGACUGGGUGGAACGGGAGCGUAGACGGCUGGGCAAGCCAGGUGUGAAAGCCCGGGGCUCAACCCCGGGACUGCAUUUGGAACUGUGUGGCUGGAGUGUCGGAGAGGCAGGCGGAAUUCCUAGUGUAGCGGUGAAAUGCGUAGAUAUUAGGAGGAACACCAGUGGCGAAGGCGGCCUGCUGGACGAUGACUGACGUUGAGGCGCGAAAGCGUGGGGAGCAAACAGGAUUAGAUACCCUGGUAGUC